UGCAGAAGAUCUUAAGACACAAAAUACAUCCCUGUAGAUGAGAACAUUAAGAGAUUUGACCCGUUUUGAUCCAAUAGCUUGAUGGAUAGCAGGGACAACAAAUAUGUUUGACCCGUUUUGAUCCAAUAGUUUGAUGGUUCGUUUCAAAUUCAACCCCUUUGAUUCAACAAACAGGUCAAUACUCUACCCCAAAACAAAUAUUAACCCCCACUCUUACUAUUUUCAUUUAGGAUGAACCAACAACCCCCGUUCUUACUAUUUUCAUUUAGGAUGAACCAACAAAGAGAAGGAAAACGUUCACAAUCAAUGAAAUGUUCUGCUCAUAACAUUUAGAAAACAGGUUCGAGAUUGAUUUUACCCGUAAAUCAAUCACCGAAGCCAGUGGCGGAGACAAAAUCUCCGGGAAAAUGGUUUAAUUUUUUU
This 423-nucleotide long non-coding RNA is filed under the name Nicotiana benthamiana. RNAcentral describes it as "long non-coding RNA (NBEN_LNC003491)". The record is from RNAcentral. Lineage: Eukaryota; Viridiplantae; Streptophyta; Magnoliopsida; Solanales; Solanaceae.